RNAcentral lists this ribosomal RNA (253 nucleotides) under uncultured bacterium. RNAcentral describes it as "partial 16S ribosomal RNA". It matches the Rfam family "Bacterial small subunit ribosomal RNA", at positions 524 to 776 of the family's 1533-position model. The record is from RNAcentral.
GACGUAGGGCGCGAGCGUUGUCCGGAUUUAUUGGGCGUAAAGAGCUCGUAGGCGGCUUGUCGCGUCGACUGUGAAAACCCGCGGCUCAACUGCGGGCCUGCAGCCGAUACGGGCAGGCUAGAGUUCGGUAGGGGAGACUGGAAUUCCUGGUGUAGCGGUGGAAUGCGCAUAUAUCAGGAGGAACACCGGUGGCGAAGGCGGGUCUCUGGGCAGUAACUGACACUGAGACACGAAGGCCAGGGGAGCAAACGGG